Molecule: ribosomal RNA, 301 nt
Filed under: uncultured bacterium
Lineage: Bacteria
Description: partial 16S ribosomal RNA
Rfam family: Bacterial small subunit ribosomal RNA
Source: RNAcentral
CAGUAGCCGCGGGAAUACGUAGGUGGCAAGCGUUGUCCGGAAUUAUUGGGCGUAAAGGGCUCGCAGGCGGUUUCUUAAGUCUGAUGUGUAAGCCCCCGGCUCAACCGGGGAGGGUCAUUGGAAACUGGGAAACUUGAGUGCAGAAGAGGAGAGUGGAAUUCCACGUGUAGCGGUGAAAUGCGUAGAGAUGUGGAGGAACACCAGUGGCGAAGGCGACUCUCUGGUCUGUAACUGACGCUGAGGAGCGAAAGCGUGGGGAGCGAACAGGAUUAGAUACCCCAGUAGUCCCUGUCUCUUAUAC